AGAGUUUGAUCAUGGCUCAGGAUGAAUGCUGGCGGCGUGCCUAACACAUGCAAGUCGAGCGGCAGCGAAGGGUGCUUGCACCCUGUCGGCGAGCGGCGGACGGCUGAGUAACGCGUGGGAAUCUACCCUAAAGUGAGGGAUAACCGCCCGAAAGGGUGGCUAAUACCGCAUAUGAUCUUCGGAUUAAAGGAUUUAUCCGCUUUAGGAAGAGCCCGCGUUAGAUUAGGUAGUUGGUAGGGUAAUGGCCUACCAAGCCAACGAUCUAUAGCUGGUCUGAGAGGAUGAUCAGCCAGACUGGAACUGAGACACGGUCCAGACUCCUACGGGAGGCAGCAGUGAGGAAUCUUCCACAAUGGGCGAAAGCCUGAUGGAGCAACGCCGCGUGAAGGAUGAAGGCCUUCGGGUUGUAAACUUCUUUUAUGAGUGAAGAAUAUGACGGUAACUCAUGAAUAAGCACCGGCUAACUACGUGCCAGCAGCCGCGGUCAUACGUAGGGUGCAAGCAUUAUCCGGAGUGACUGGGCGUAAAGAGUUGCGUAGGCGGUUUAAUAAGUGAAUAGUGAAACCUGGUGGCUCAACCAUACAGACUAUUAUUCAAACUGUUAAACUCGAGAGUGGUAGAGGUAACUGGAAUUUCUAGUGUAGGAGUGAAAUCCGUAGAUAUUAGAAGGAACACCAAUAGCGUAGGCAGGUUACUGGACCAUUUCUGACGCUAAGGCACGAAAGCGUGGGGAGCGAACUGGAUUAGAUACCCCGGUAGUCCAA
This 764-nucleotide ribosomal RNA is filed under the name uncultured bacterium. RNAcentral's name for it is "bacterial SSU rRNA". It matches the Rfam family "Bacterial small subunit ribosomal RNA", at positions 8 to 798 of the family's 1533-position model. The record is from RNAcentral.